RNAcentral lists this ribosomal RNA (253 nucleotides) under uncultured bacterium. Its description in RNAcentral is "partial 16S ribosomal RNA". It matches the Rfam family "Bacterial small subunit ribosomal RNA", at positions 524 to 776 of the family's 1533-position model. The record is from RNAcentral.
UACGGAGGGGGCGAGCGUUAUUCGGAAUCAUUGGGCGUAAAGGGCGCGUAGGCGGCUUGAUAAGUCAAAGGUGAAAUCCCUCGGCUCAACUGAGGAACUGCCUUUGAAACUAUCUGGCUUGAGGCCGGGAGGGGGUGGCGGAAUUCCCAGUGUAGCGGUGAAAUGUGUAGAUAUUGGGAGGAACACCAGUGGCGAAGGCGGCCACCUGGACCGGUUCUGACGCUGAUGCGCGAAAGCGUGGGUAGCAAACAGG